Cyprinus carpio carpio is the source of this 2751-nucleotide long non-coding RNA. The record is from Ensembl. NCBI's taxonomy places the organism in Eukaryota, Metazoa, Chordata, Actinopteri, Cypriniformes, Cyprinidae.
AACGUACCUCUGGGCGGCCGUGUUCGCAUCCACCACCCCAGCCGUGUGCAUCCACGAUCGGACCGAAUUCAUGCCACUGCCCAGCGGUUCCUCUUUCAUAGUGGUCCCCCCUCUUGGUAUAUUUUCCUGAAUCCCAAACAUUAAAACAGUUCGCGUGCAACACACUUCCAGCCAAAGAGAUGAAAUGAGAGUGUGAGCGAGGGCGCGUCGUCUCUCCAAGAGCCCCUUCGGAUAGCCGUGAGAGUUUGUUUGGGAUUUGUCGAAAAGAGAAGAAGAAGAAGAAGAAAAGAAAAAGCUGUCCCGACUCCUUCUUCAGUCCGUCCUGCGUUGGCACCACAUGAACGAUUCAGUGCGUGAAGAUUCUCAAGCCUCUCCAAGCAGCUUGUUUGGAUAGAUGGAGAUCCUCCCGUGGAAGAAGCGAAACAAGUCGCGCAAAUAGCAGGGAUAUUAGACUCGUUUUAAUUCAGUUAAACAUUUCUUGCAGCUUUCUGUUGUUGUUGUUGUUGUUGUUGAUGAUGAUGAUGAUGAUGGAGGUGAUGAUGCUCUUAGCUUGGUGGCAUCCUAUAACAACAGCAUCAAAAAAGGCUUCGGGACACUGCUGAAUCCAGCACUUCUGGCUCCAAAAGACAAAUAAACGCGUAAAUGAUCACCGUGGAGGUGUUCCCGGACACGGGAGAGGAUGAUGAGGGGCCUUUAGCGCGUCUUUGCAGAAUGGAUGGAAGCAUACAAAACUCAACCCUCUAUCCCCCAGGACUGGAACCUUUCCCGGGAGCCAAAAACUCCAGACCCACGGGAUACACGCUGUCAGAGGAUGACGCGCACGUGGGCGUGGCUUUGCCCAUACAUGGAGAGGAUUGACGCUUCCUGUCGCUGGGCUUUAAGCUUGGACCGUGAGUGCAUACGCGACUAGAGUCGCUGCUGCUGCUGACGCCGCUGCUGCUUUUCCAGUGCGCAUUGUGUCAAGUAAUCAUCAGACAGGGACAAAAAUGAAUGAUAAUGAAAGCCCGCGAAUAAGGCGCGGCGCGCGGGAACUAUAUUUCCUGAAAAACUGCCAUGCAAGUUUAUAGAGUGCAAAAGAGCACUGACUGACCACCCAUCCGCUGCAAUCGGUUUCCAGAAUAAAUAAAUAAAUAAAUAAAAAGUCUUACUGGGCCAUCAUUACUCUGACAGCAGUGCCAAACGUCCCGGACGCAAGCCUCCAAAUCGAUUCAAUUUGAUUACUCUCAAAUCAGGAAGGUGUGCUGGCAUUUUAAGACUACAUGCUCCUUAUAAUAAACACCCUGGGCAUCUGCAUAAUGGCGUAAUGCGCGUCUUAAAUUAUGGCAACGUGUACUGCUUGAAUACUGCGAGACCCGGUUUGCGUGCGUGGAGCGAGCCGAGGCGAUGUCAAACUCAUAGUCCUAGCGCGUACUCGCUUAAUUUUGUAAAUUAUUGCAGAAUUACAUCUGAAAGUGUGAAAGGACUCGGGGGAAACAUUGCGUCCACCCUCUCCUUCUAUGCGCAAGAAGUAGGAUGUCUUUUGUAAUAAAAAUAUAAUCAUUUAUCAGGACAAUAAGGGUCAUUUUCCACCCUUUCAUUUCGUAAGGUGCUCGUGUCUCCGAUAUUGACAGACUCUGCAUGUAUGUUAAUAUUUGAAUUAAUGGGGGAAAAUGGAAGUCCGAUGUUGGUUAUCUGGGGACCCUGUGCGCUGGAGGGAGGGAUGGAUGGAUGGACGGACGGAGAGAGGAGAAGAGAGAUGUGUUUUACACAGCAAUCUAUUCUGCUAGUGUUGGGGGUUAAUGACUAUUGCCAAAGAUAAGUGAAUUAUCAAAGCUGUUGCUCUUGCCUCGACUCAAAAUCCAUCACAUUGCAUCGUCGUCUAAUUAAAUACAUGCUGUCAGAGAAUCUAAGAGCUGUAAAGAGAAAGAAAAAGGCAGAGAAAGUAAGAAAGGAAACCUACUCAGUUGGAGAACGUGAAGAUCAUUCUGAUGUGUGAACUCUGCAUUAUUAACAGACAGAAAGAUGAAGAUGCAGCCGUGAAAAACACCAAGUAAAUGCUUAAAAUAAGUACUGUCAGCUCGGCGCUGUGUACCGGGACCCCAGAGGUGAAAUAAAAAAACUGUGAAAAAAUUCACAGAGCUUUAAAUUAAACAGUGAAAUGCAACAUCUGUGUUCAAAAACCUUUUACCCCCAAUUUCACAUGUAUUGUUUUCUAUUUUUUUGUGUGUGUGUGUGUGUGUGUGUGUGUGUGUGUGUGUGUCUAUGUAAGUGGAGAAGUUUUAAAAGAUUGUAGGCACUGACUCAUUUCCACUGAUUCAAAAAUCGAAGGGAACGAACAACGACGUGAUUUUGGUGAACACAUGGCCUUGGUGAAGAGCCGCCCUAGUUUCCUGAGCUGCUCUGCGAGGAAGAGGGUGUGUUAGAAACAGCAUAUGGAGGGCAUGUUUGUUAGUGCGCCGCUGAUAAAUGGAUUAAUUGGUUAGAUUAGGCUGCCAAAGCUUUGAUCACAGAAACAGCGCAAAGAAAUGUGUUUAUUGUUUAUGAUGAUUUUGUUCAUUGAGCUGUAGCAUGGGCUAAAUAUGCAAUGAAUAAAAAUGAUGCAUUCGUGUGUACUUGUUAUUUCCUGUUUGGAGCAGAAAAUAAACUCAUAACUCAUUGUGAAAUGGUUUUGAAUGUGAAAUAUGAGCCGCAAAAGACUUCUGUUCUCAGAACUUGCUUCAUUUUAAGAACUUUUUACAGAACAGUCAACUAGAAUGAAUAUUUCAAACAGUG